UUGGUGCCUUCGGGAACGCAGAGACAGGUGCUGCAUGGCUGUCGUCAGCUCGUGUUGUGAAAUGUUGGGUUAAGUCCCGUAACGAGCGCAACCCUUGUCCUUAGUUGCCAUCAUUUAGUUGGGGACUCUAAGGAGACUGCCGGUGACAAACCGGAGGAAGGCGGGGACGACGUCAAGUCAUCAUGGCCCUUACGAGUAGGGCUACACACGUGCUACAAUGGCCGGUACAGAGGGUCGCGAAGCCGCGAGGUGGAGCUAAUCUCACAAAGCCGGUCGUAGUCCGGAUUGGAGUCUGCAACUCGACUCCAUGAAGUCGGAAUCGCUAGUAAUCAUGAAUCAGAAUGUCACGGUGAAUACGUUCCCGGGUCUUGUACACACCGA
This 381-nucleotide ribosomal RNA is filed under the name uncultured bacterium. RNAcentral's name for it is "bacterial SSU rRNA". It matches the Rfam family "Bacterial small subunit ribosomal RNA", at positions 1011 to 1393 of the family's 1533-position model. The record is from RNAcentral.